UCCACCACCACAGUGUGUGUCCAUGGUACUACAAAAGGCCUGCCCACCACUGCCAUCUUUGCUGUUUUCAUACAAAAAUCAUCAAGCACUUCCCUGGGCAAGGAGAAGCAAGAAAACAAAAAAAUAUAAAUGUCAAGCAAGGAGAAAACGAAAAGACACCACCACUGCUGCUGCUCCAGCUGCCGCCCCUUCCCCUCAAGGUUUGUGCUUCUCAAUGUGCUCUGUUCCUCCACCUGAGCAUACCCCUCUUUUGCUUUAGCUCCUCCCCUCCCUGCUGCACCACCAAGCCUGGAUCCCAUCUUCCAUAUCAAGUGUGUGCUGGAAAGGGAGGAGAGAAGAGGGGGGAGCUUGUUCUCACACAACUGGCUAGCACUCUUCCUGGAAGAUUGGAUUGGGAAUGAUCAUGAAUUGAGGAUUUUCAAAUGCAGCUUCUGAUUGAUCAAGAGAAGGGAUAGAUAGGCCCAGGCUGUGAGAAAUCCCUCCACCCCAUUUUACUAUCCUCACUACCUAGGUAAGUAGCUGAAUGUUCAGCCCUGUCCCUGUAAGAAUUUAUUUAAAGUUUUUUAAGUAGAUAGCUGAAAGGGACUAAAAGAGCUCAAAGGAGAGAGCUCCAGCCAGCCAUCCAACAACAACACCAUCACCACAGCAGCAGAAGGAACCAGAGCACCACCAGCAGUCAAGUCAGUUAUCUCAACCCCUCUCCAAAUCCACUCCACCAUCAUUCACCAUCAUCAUCAUCAACUUGAACAUCAUAGAGCUCUAGAGGCACAGAAGCAUCCAAGGCAUAUUCAU
This 792-nucleotide long non-coding RNA is filed under the name Selaginella moellendorffii. RNAcentral's name for it is "long non-coding RNA (SMOE_LNC000483)". The record is from RNAcentral. Lineage: Eukaryota; Viridiplantae; Streptophyta; Lycopodiopsida; Selaginellales; Selaginellaceae.